RNAcentral lists this ribosomal RNA (253 nucleotides) under uncultured bacterium. RNAcentral describes it as "partial 16S ribosomal RNA". It matches the Rfam family "Bacterial small subunit ribosomal RNA", at positions 524 to 776 of the family's 1533-position model. The record is from RNAcentral.
GACAGAGGUGCCAAGCGUUAGGCGGAAUCACUGGGCUUAAAGCGUGUGUAGGCGGACUUGUAAGUACCUUGUGAAAUCCCACGGCUCACCCGUGGAACUGCUGGGCAUACUGCGGGUCUUGGGCCAACUAGGGGCAGCCGGAACAAGCGGUGGAGCGGUGAAAUGCGUAGAUAUCGCUUGGAACGCCGAAGGUGAAAACAGGCUGCUGGGGUUGCGCCGACGCUGAGACACGAAAGCCAGGGGAGCAAACGGG